CAGAGGACCUCAGUGAAGGGCCAGAUGGCGAGAGGAGACCGCCACCACCACAGGAGAACAACCACACGCCUGAAGCGCAGCCUGUGUCCGUUUGGCCUUGUAACUCCAGCCUGGGCGAAUAGCGGGACGCUAUUCCCCAGGCAAAACCAGAAAAUUUGGUGCAAAAGGGACAGUGAAGUGGUCGUUGCUGUCAUUGAAUCACCUGACAAGACUAGCACUUACCCACUUCGUCAGAGUGAACUCAAUUCCCUAGCACCACACAAGUGGCUGCUGGGUGAGACAGUCGAGUGCUACCUCAGAGCCAUCCUGAACAAGAAUGGUUUGGGCAAAAGAAUAUACCUCUUAAACCAUUACUCAGCUGGGGUAAUAGUUUUUGGAGCACGGUCUGACAUGAGUAAUCACUCUUUGCGCAAGGUUGACUUUGACAACUAUGACGGAGUGAUAGGGGCCAUCAAUGCAGGAAACAACCACUGGAAAUUCCUGUAUCUGCACAAGUCGAACGGAAAUGCGUACAUCAUGGGUCCCAUGGGUCAGGCUGAGGACAAAGACUCAGGUGAUGCUGCAUCACGGUUUCGCAAAUUAUGACAAUAUAACAAUGGCUGAAGAUGUGGUGGAGGCUUUUCCUCUUGUCCCCCAGCAAAUCCAAAUACCCACAUUGCAAAAAGGCCUAAAAGAUCUCAGGAUAAACAUGGCAAAGACUAUUCUGCAGUGCUCUGUCUUCAGUGAAAAGGACCACUGCUCUAGUUGUGGCCAGAAGUACUCAAAAGGACAGAGCCAAACCACAAAAUGGGUUGAAUGUACCAAAUGCAGAAGAUGGUACCAUCCAUGUUGUGUGGCAAUGUCUGAUGCAGAGUGGGAUGAGGAAAACACUGCAGCCUCAUCAAAAUGGCAGUGUGGUCUCUGUUGAUUUCAAAAAGGUUCUCCCUGCCUGUCUCCCUCCCACCUCACUGGGGAGAGCCACUCCACCUGUGGCCUCAACUAUAAAGGCAUGGCCUUUCAAAGAUGGCUCUGUCUCUCCCGCCUGGAUGGCUGGUUUGGUUUGGUGUGGUGUGGUUUGGUUUUGUUUGGUUCUGUUGGCUCUUUUGAAAUUCCAGAGAGAUAUUUCAAAGUAAAAGUGAGAAAUAUUCAUAAAUUAUGUUCAAUGAA
Epinephelus lanceolatus (giant grouper) is the source of this 1146-nucleotide non-coding RNA. The record is from RefSeq and is a predicted model, not a curated record. Lineage: Eukaryota; Metazoa; Chordata; Actinopteri; Perciformes; Serranidae.